AGCCUAACACAUGCAAGUCGAACGGCAGCACAGGAGAGCUUGCUCUCUGGGUGGCGAGUGGCGGACGGGUGAGGAAUACAUCGGAAUCUACUUUCGUGGGGGAUAACGUAGGAAACUUACGCUAAUACCGCAUACGACCUACGGGUGAAAGCCAGGGGAUCUUCGGACCUUGCGCGCAUUGAAUGAGCCGCAUGUCGGAUUAGCUAGCUGGCGGGGUAAAGGCCCACCAA
This 230-nucleotide ribosomal RNA is filed under the name uncultured bacterium. RNAcentral's name for it is "partial 16S ribosomal RNA". It matches the Rfam family "Bacterial small subunit ribosomal RNA", at positions 46 to 271 of the family's 1533-position model. The record is from RNAcentral.